UGGGGAAUUUUGGACAAUGGGCGAAAACCUGAUCCAGCAAUGCCGCGUGUGUGAAGAAGGCCUUCGGGUUGUAAAGCACUUUUGUCCGGAAAGAAAUCCUUGGCUCUAAUACAGUCGGGGGAUGACGGUACCGGAAGAAUAAGCACCGGCUAACUACGUGCCAGCAGCCGCGGUAAUACGUAGGGUGCAAGCGUUAAUCGGAAUUACUGGGCGUAAAGCGUGCGCAGGCGGUUUGCUAAGACCGAUGUGAAAUCCCCGGGCUCAACCUGGGAACUGCAUUGGUGACUGGCAGGCUAGAGUAUGGCAGAGGGGGGUAGAAUUCCACGUGUAGCAGUGAAAUGCGUAGAGAUGUGGAGGAAUACCGAUGGCGAAGGCAGCCCCCCUGGGCCAAAUACUGACGCUCAUGCACGAAAAGGCGUGGGGGAGCAAAACAGGAUUAGAUACCCCUGGUAGUCCACGCCCUAAACGAUGUCAACUAGUUGUUGGGGACUUCAUUUUCCUUAGUAACGUAGCUAACGCGUGAAGUUGACCGCCUGGGGAGUACGGUCGCAAGAUUAAAACUCAAAUGAAUUGACGGGGUCAUAGCUGUUUCCU
RNAcentral lists this ribosomal RNA (594 nucleotides) under uncultured bacterium. RNAcentral's name for it is "partial 16S ribosomal RNA". It matches the Rfam family "Bacterial small subunit ribosomal RNA", at positions 355 to 1375 of the family's 1533-position model. The record is from RNAcentral.